Molecule: long non-coding RNA, 3750 nt
Organism: Rhincodon typus (whale shark)
Lineage: Eukaryota; Metazoa; Chordata; Chondrichthyes; Orectolobiformes; Rhincodontidae
Exons: 2
Source: RefSeq, a predicted model, not a curated record
CUGUUUUCACCGUACCCAGUGUGAAGCUGCAGCCUGAGAUAGGUGACAGUUCAAAGGUUUAUGGAAGAAGCAGCAAUCAUGGCAAAAGUUUUUUGAACCACAAACACUGAGGGAUUAUUGUCCUCACCUGCAUUACAAAGGUUAACUCCAUUGCCUGUUCCAAAGAAGCAGAAGAAGAGCAAAGGAAUUCAAGAACCUAUUCUCCUAUUGUUAUGGUCAUGUUAGCAAAUGGCUGCUGUUUUUGCUACAAUUCUUUACAUUAGCAUUGUGUGGGAUUAUGUGUGCUUGUACUCUGAAUUUGACAUAUUGAAUGCUAAACCACGGCAUGCAAGAACCACCUUUUUUUUUAAAAAGUAGUUUGUUUAGAGAUCCACUUUGCUGAUAAAUGAUCCAUGCUGCUUUACAGGCUCUUGUCUGUCAGUCUUUUGAUUUUCUAUACUAGCGUAGCAUUUUUGUAAAGCUCAUUCAGAUUUCACUGUUAACGCUAAAAUUCUGAAGAUUUUUUUUGAAACUUUUGUGGGCAUGCCAGGAAGUCCUCUGAUGUCAGGAUUACAAAGCAAUCAACAGUGGCAUGAAAGACACUGCAUAUGUUUUACAAAAAUCAGCAUACUUUUGUAUACAGUUGAAAUGAAAUAGCUAGUGAACCACUGUGAACAUUUCUGACAGUGCUCCAGCUGGGAUCUUGCAAGGAACAUAGAUAAAUCCACAGCUGAUGGGGUGAGCUGCAGUGUUUAAAAUGGUUUGUACUAUCAUGAUGAUCAUCUGCUUAGUUUUUUAGAAGAAUACAAAAACCAUGUAUUUAAUGGAAUCUCGUUAGUUCCUCUGAGGUCUGGGGUUAGAUUUAAACCCAAUUCUUUGUCACUUCAGAUCCUGGAAAAGCAUUAUUGCUGUGUGUCUGUUCAGGUUAAAUGUUCUGUGAUGGAGUGACUCAUUUGAAAAAUAUAUCUAAAAUGUGUGAGGUUUGUAACAGUGUACUGAACAGGAACCAAUGGGUUCUUCAAAUACUGUUUUUGUCCUUUUCACUUUGUGGCCUCAGACCAUCUAUUUUGCCCAGUAUUGGUAACAACACUGACCAAAUUCUAAUGUAAAGUCAAAUGUGUAACACACAAAAAAAUUUACACUUGGUAAUACUGAUUAAAUGCUGCAAUAAAAUUUCUGCUUAUUUCAGUUCAUAAUGAAAUUGUAAACACAUUGCAUAUACACUCAUGAUCUCACUAUAACUAUCAAUAGAUAUCUUCAGCUACAAGUGUUUUAAUGUCCUAAUUCUUAUUUACAGCAUUUCAUGUCUCUGCCUACUGUUCCAAACUUUUUUUUGCCAUUUCACAGGCUAUUGGUCGCUAUUUUCUUUCUUAAAAUCUAAGGGAUUAUGUUCUGGAGUUGAGCUUAAAUAUAUUUAAUUCUGCAACAUAAUAACAGUUGCAUUUUAUUUCAUUUUAAGCCAUCUGACAAAAUCUUCUUUUCUUAUGUCCAGCCAAGAAAAGAAAAAAUGCUAACAUUCUGAAUAUUCAUUUAUUGCAACAACAUAAUUGGAGUCUGUAGAAUAAGUAUUGUAUAAAUUGUACGUUAAACACGCACAAGCCUAUAGUGGUUCAUUGCUUACCAGCCAUGAAAAAUAUGAUGGAGUGUGAACUAUUCCAAAUUAUGCUAUUAAAAAUUCUUUUGAUUAUUUUAUCCAGAAAUGUGUAGUAGUAAAUGGGACAGUAGUUAAAAGAUUCAGAAUGAAGAGAGAUGGACAUAAUUUUGUUUCUUUUUCCAUUAUAAUUGAACAAAACAAAUGAGGGAACUUUUCAGAUUUUCCAAUUAAUAUCUAGUUCCACACCAAAGAAGUCUUAUUUUUUAUUUUAUAAUUCUUUUAUAUCCCAGUCAAACUUCCUCUUUCCAUGAUCUUUUUCACAUAAAAUUGCAGUCUGUCUACUUAAUACUGACCUUUUCUUCUUGGGAGACCCCAAAUGUGAAAAGAACAUACAUAUUUGCAUUCAAUGUUAUGAAUGAUAGCUUUCAAAAUUGUAAAUGUCAUUAAGGACUGGUAUUUAUGUUAAGACAGAACAGUUAGCUUAAUUUGCUUAUAUAUCUGUGAGAAAUUAAAAGAUGUCACAGAAAUUUAAAUUUAGAUUCAAUCCUUCCUGACAAAGAAAAGUUAUAGUGGGAGUUAAAGUAAAAAUCUACUUUGCAGUUUUUACAUUGUGUAAUGUGAUGAAUGACGUCAAUUUGUAAUGUUUUACUUCACCUUCCCAAAUGUCACUCAGCAUCAGCAGUUUCAUGUGCAUAACUUCCACUCUGACGAUCCCUUUGAUUGCAAGUUCAUUUUGGUUGCAUCAAUUUCUAACAGUUAUUUGAAUGAACAAAUCUCGGAGCACAUUUUACUGACGCAACAUACUAUUAGUUACAUAUGAAGGUCUUGAAAAAUUAGUGUAUAAAUGUUUUUAAAAUAAAGUUAAAAGGCAAAAAUGUUUGAGAGUAUCUUUUGAAGGUUUUUUUAAAUCGUCUGUUAAUAUAGAUAUGUCUUUUCAAGGUCAUUAUCAAUGGUAGAUUACGCAUUUACCAUACUUGUUUGUAAUUUGAUCCCUAUACAAUGUGUAUGAGAUAUUAUGUUAAUUUCAUGAAUACAUUUUCUGUAAGUAUUAAAAUCAACUGAAAAAAACAAGCAAAUUGACCUGUACUGUAGCAUAGUUACUUUGUAACAGUGGUUAUGAUAUUUGAUUGAAGUGUGCUCUUUUUAUUUAUCAAUCUGAUUUUUCUAUAAAAUAGUUUGCACUGUGUUUUGCUGACUUUACAAUCACUGAAAUAUACAGCUUAGAAUUUUAAAGGAAUUUAAUGGUGCACUGAGUACUUCAAUUAUGUUGGUACUUGCACAAGAAAGCAAACUCUAGGAGUUAGAAACUUUGGAAAUAUAUUAUGAAGUGAACACGUUUAUUAACUAUCUUUGUAAAUAUUAUUUUACAUGCUUUCACAGUGAUACUAUGUUGGGCAUACAAUAUUAUUUUUGAAUUUUUAUGUGACAUCCACAGAUGUUAAUGAGCUUUAUUUGAUAAAUAAUUCUCAGUCGACUAAACUUUGGUAAAUAGCAAGAAUGGAGAAAAAUUUAAGCAGUCACUGUGCAGCUUGUGUGAUAAUCAGUCCAGUUAAUCUGUUCGCUUCACGUGUCUGCAUCAUGGAAUGUGCAGUCUCAUAUAUUAAACUGCUAAAAUGUCCUGUGAAUAUUUAUUUUUUGUAACUUUUUGAAGAAAUAUGUUCACUGUCAAGUCUUUACAAAAGAGGUGAGAAAAAGAUUAAACUGUUCCUCUCAAGUCUAAUGAUAGCUCAGUGAUUGAGAUAACCCAGUAUGCAAGGUAUCUCAGUUUUGAACGUCUCCCCAUAGUCAUUUAUAUUAAGAUCUUUGUAUAUUUAUGCUGUACUGUCUUGUAAAUUCCUUGAGCACAGAGGUGAAGGCAAGUAUCCCAAAUAUGCAUCUGUGAUGUGUUGUUCAAAGAAACUGCACAAGUACGCUUCAAUGACUUUUUUUUUGUGUGACGUAUCUCUUCAAUCCAUCUCCUUGACAUGCUGUAGUUUGGUACAGAGACAAAAAUAUUCAUGAAAUACAAACAAAUGGCCAACGUUAAGAAAACCUAGAAUGUAGUAACAGUAUAUAUGUUGCAUUGUUUGUUACAAAUUAUAUGUAAUGUACUAUUACAGAUGUAUUAAUGGUAUGUCCUUCUGUAACUGUUGGUUUCUUGGUACAUGAAAAUAAAAUAUGUCUGUAUUUUAAAUGAG